This 253-nucleotide ribosomal RNA is filed under the name uncultured bacterium. RNAcentral describes it as "partial 16S ribosomal RNA". It matches the Rfam family "Bacterial small subunit ribosomal RNA", at positions 524 to 776 of the family's 1533-position model. The record is from RNAcentral.
GACGAACCGAGCGAACGUUGUUCGGAAUCACUGGGCUUAAAGGGCGCGUAGGCGGGCCGCCGCGUCCGGGGUGAAAUCCUCCCGCUCAACGGGAGAACGGCCUCGGAUACGGGCGGCCUGGAGGGGGGUAGGGGCGUGCGGAACUGUGGGUGGAGCGGUGAAAUGCGUUGAUAUCCGGAGGAACACCAGUGGCGAAGGCGACUUUCUGGCCUGUUCUUGACGCUGAGGCGCGAAAGCUAGGGGAGCAAACGGG